GGGUGGGUUUCAGCUCCCACUUGUUUUUUUGGUCAGGUUCCCCAAGAAACAGACUCGGGAUUUGCAUGCAGGAGUCUUAUUGGGGAACGCUUUCAGGAACUACCACCCCGUAUGGGAGCGAGAGAAGCAGGACUGUGCAGAAGGAGAAGUUGAACAACUCCUGGAAAGCUCUGAAGCUGGGAUCAUCCUUCCAGAAUGUCUUGGAUUGAGACAAGGGUACUUUAAUCAGCAUUUAAUGACCCAGUCGAAAAUUCAUUGUUUGGACCCAAGCACUGGUGGGAAAGGCAGGAGGGGAGGCCUGCCUUCCUUCCUCCCUCCCGAGCCCUACAGCAGGCCAUGGAGUGGUGAGCGAGUUCGUACAGUGCCAACCACAUUCCCAGAAACUUCCAGCAGAGGUUAAUCCUGCUCCUCUCAGGAAAAAGUGAUUCAGCUCCGGUCCACCCUGGGUGCAGCGGUCCUUCUGCCAAGAUGCCUUCAUAUCAUACAGCUAUUAUUUUCGGGAGGAUUCCAAGUGAGGGCAGUCAGGGUAAGUGCCUCUCACCAGCUGCCUGCUCAGACCAUUGCUCCACAUACCCUAGCUCAUAAAUCCUGCCCCAACACUGCAGAGUGGUUACAUCAUCCCCAAACCUCAUGCAACAAUUCGAUUUGGAAAUAAAAAGGCAGGUGUUAAUUGA
This is a long non-coding RNA of Homo sapiens (human), 674 nucleotides long. Ensembl annotates it as ZNF503 antisense RNA 1. Its record names the gene ZNF503-AS1. Lineage: Eukaryota; Metazoa; Chordata; Mammalia; Primates; Hominidae. The record is from Ensembl.